UGCAGUCGACGGUGAACACGGAGCUUGCUCUGUGGGAUCAGUGGCGAACGGGUGAGUAACACGUGAGCAACCUGCCCCUGACUCUGGGAUAAGCGCUGGAAACGGCGUCUAAUACUGGAUAUGUGACGUGACCGCAUGGUCUGCGUCUGGAAAGAAUUUCGGUUGGGGAUGGGCUCGCGGCCUAUCAGCUUGUUGGUGAGGUAAUGGCUCACCAAGGCGUCGACGGGUAGCCGGCCUGAGAGGGUGACCGGCCACACUGGGACUGAGACACGGCCCAGACUCCUACGGGAGGCAGCAGUGGGGAAUAUUGCACAAUGGGCGCAAGCCUGAUGCAGCAACGCCGCGUGAGGGACGACGGCCUUCGGGUUGUAAACCUCUUUUAGCAGGGAAGAAGCGAAAGUGACGGUACCUGCAGAAAAAGCGCCGGCUAACUACGUGCCAGCAGCCGCGGUAAUACGUAGGGCGCAAGCGUUAUCCGGAAUUAUUGGGCGUAAAGAGCUCGUAGGCGGUUUGUCGCGUCUGCUGUGAAAUCCGGAGGCUCAACCUCCGGCCUGCAGUGGGUACGGGCAGACUAGAGUGCGGUAGGGGAGAUUGGAAUUCCUGGUGUAGCGGUGGAAUGCGCAGAUAUCAGGAGGAACACCGAUGGCGAAGGCAGAUCUCU
RNAcentral lists this ribosomal RNA (661 nucleotides) under bacterium SCSIO13183. Its description in RNAcentral is "bacterial SSU rRNA". It matches the Rfam family "Bacterial small subunit ribosomal RNA", at positions 56 to 730 of the family's 1533-position model. The record is from RNAcentral.